Molecule: ribosomal RNA, 465 nt
Filed under: Vreelandella stevensii
Lineage: Bacteria; Pseudomonadati; Pseudomonadota; Gammaproteobacteria; Oceanospirillales; Halomonadaceae
Description: partial 16S ribosomal RNA
Rfam family: Bacterial small subunit ribosomal RNA
Source: RNAcentral
CCUACGGGUGGCAGCAGUGGGGAAUAUUGGACAAUGGGGGGAACCCUGAUCCAGCCAUGCCGCGUGUGUGAAGAAGGCCCUCGGGUUGUAAAGCACUUUCAGUGAGGAAGAACGCCUGGUGGUUAAUACCCAUCAGGAAAGACAUCACUCACAGAAGAAGCACCGGCUAACUCCGUGCCAGCAGCCGCGGUAAUACGGAGGGUGCGAGCGUUAAUCGGAAUUACUGGGCGUAAAGCGCGCGUAGGUGGCUUGAUAAGCCGGUUGUGAAAGCCCCGGGCUCAACCUGGGAACGGCAUCCGGAACUGUCAAGCUAGAGUGCAGGAGAGGAAGGUAGAAUUCCCGGUGUAGCGGUGAAAUGCGUAGAGAUCGGGAGGAAUACCAGUGGCGAAGGCGGCCUUCUGGACUGACACUGACACUGAGGUGCGAAAGCGUGGGUAGCGAACAGGAUUAGAUACCCCUGUAGUC